This 205-nucleotide unclassified non-coding RNA is filed under the name Hevea brasiliensis (rubber tree). Lineage: Eukaryota; Viridiplantae; Streptophyta; Magnoliopsida; Malpighiales; Euphorbiaceae. The record is from RNAcentral.
UUCCUUUCUGGAAAAAGAAUUAGGAUUACAAUUUGUAUACAUUUUGAUUUGCAUUGAAGUCAUGCACAAUUUUCUUACAAAAUAAAUGCAAGCAAAUCUGUCCAAUCUGUACUAUAUCACCCACUUCAUAACCAGCAAUGCUAAUGUUCUAUCAGAGCAAGAAAUAAGGAGGGAGGAAAAGAAAGGAGGGGGGGUUGGGUGUGGG